RNAcentral lists this ribosomal RNA (443 nucleotides) under uncultured bacterium. Its description in RNAcentral is "partial 16S ribosomal RNA". It matches the Rfam family "Bacterial small subunit ribosomal RNA", at positions 338 to 795 of the family's 1533-position model. The record is from RNAcentral.
CCUACGGGAGGCUGCAGUGGGGAAUAUUGGACAAUGGGGGGAACCCUGAUCCAGCGACGCCGCGUGAGUGAAGAAGUAUUUCGGUAUGUAAAGCUCUAUCAGCAAGGAAGAAAGAAAUGACGGUACCUGACUAAGAAGCCCCGGCUAACUACGUGCCAGCAGCCGCGGUAAUACGUAGGGGGCAAGCGUUAUCCGGAUUUACUGGGUGUAAAGGGAGCGUAGACGGCGAUGCAAGUCUGAAGUGAAAGGCGGGGGCCCAACCCCCGGACUGCUUUGGAAACUGUAUGGCUGGAGUACAGGAGAGGUAAGUGGAAUUCCUAGUGUAGCGGUGAAAUGCGUAGAUAUUAGGAGGAACACCAGUGGCGAAGGCGGCUUACUGGACUGUAACUGACGUUGAGGCUCGAAAGCGUGGGGAGCAAACAGGAUUAGAUACCCCUGUAGUC